Molecule: non-coding RNA, 159 nt
Organism: Populus trichocarpa (black cottonwood)
Lineage: Eukaryota; Viridiplantae; Streptophyta; Magnoliopsida; Malpighiales; Salicaceae
Source: Rfam
UCUAGAACUCCAGCUAUGGGUAAACUUCUGAGCAGUGUUUGGGCUGGAUUGCAAGAUAGAUUUUGACUUCUCUUUUGUGGCCAAACUUUGAAUUUGAAAAUGGCAGAUUUGGGUCUUCCAUUCUUCAUGAACGUUGUACACUACCAGAAAUUCGCUAAA